Non-coding RNA from Phrynosoma platyrhinos (Desert horned lizard), 71 nucleotides. The record is from the annotation of a GenBank genome assembly. Lineage: Eukaryota; Metazoa; Chordata; Lepidosauria; Squamata; Phrynosomatidae.
GCCAGCAUGGCAUAGUGGCUUGAGUGUUGGACUACUACUCUGGAGCUCCGGGUUCAAUUCCUUGCUUGGCC